CCUACGGGAGGCAGCAGUGGGGAAUAUUGGACAAUGGGGGAAACCCUGAUCCAGCCAUGCCGCGUGUGUGAAGAAGGUCUUCGGAUUGUAAAGCACUUUAAGUUGGGAGGAAGGGUUGAUGCCUAAUACGCGUCAGUCUUGACGUUACCGACAGAAUAAGCACCGGCUAACUCUGUGCCAGCAGCCGCGGUAAU
RNAcentral lists this ribosomal RNA (194 nucleotides) under uncultured bacterium. Its description in RNAcentral is "partial 16S ribosomal RNA". It matches the Rfam family "Bacterial small subunit ribosomal RNA", at positions 338 to 524 of the family's 1533-position model. The record is from RNAcentral.